Neofelis nebulosa (Clouded leopard) is the source of this 7575-nucleotide long non-coding RNA. RefSeq lists it as uncharacterized. Lineage: Eukaryota; Metazoa; Chordata; Mammalia; Carnivora; Felidae. The record is from RefSeq and is a predicted model, not a curated record. The transcript has 3 exons.
CCAUUAUUUUGGAUAAAUUCCCAGAGGUAAGAUUGCUUUUCAAAUGGUAGUUCUAUUUUUAGUUUUUGAGGAACCUCCAUACUGUUUUCUCUAGUGGCUGCACCAGUUUGCAUUAUUACCCGCAUGGUGCAAAGGUUUCAAUUUCUCCACAUCCUCACCAGCACUUGUCUUUUGGUCUUUUUGAUAAUAGCCCUCCUGAUAGGCAUGCGAUUAUAUCUCAUUGUGGUUUUGAUUUGCAUUUUCUGGAAAUGAGGCACUACUAAUUAGCAGGCAUAAAGGUUCACUUACACAAGACAAAUAACUUCUAGAGAUCAUCUGGACAACAGUGUACCUAUAGUCAACAGUACUGCAUUUUACACUUAAAACUCUGUGGAGGGUAGAUCUUGUGUGAAAUGUUCAUACCACCAGUAAAAAGAAAAGUGUAUGAGGAGAUCUAAGUCAUUUUGUAAUUACUUCUAUAGAUCAUGUGUCUUAAGUGGUUCCAUGAAAGUGUUCUUGGCCUGAACCAUGUGCAUCACAGCUUUUAUAAAUGAUGCAUCCAGUCUAUAGGAAGAGAUGAGACAACAUGGACUUAAAGACAUAUGUGAGCCUUGUUUUAGCCACCCGGAAGGACCAGCAGCGGGCAGUGUGGAGAUGAGAACUGAGAUUUGCUGUAUGGAAAUCACAAAAUUAAGAGAAACAGAUGUGACUCCAAGGCCAAGGGUCCUACAAUUGGAAAGAACACCAAUACCACACUAUGAAAUCAGGCUUUGAGGCCCACAGAAGGCUCAGCCAUUGUGCUGCCAUGCUGACCCUCCCUUCUGAAGGUGAAGAUCUGAUUGUAUUCUACUGCUUACAUAAACUGCCUCUCUAAGGGAUUGUCACUGUCAGUACACGCUGUGAUACCUUGUGAAGAUGAGAUUUGAUUUCUUCUCAACAAAUAGUCUUUCUUCCUCUCUUCACUGCCAGAUAUGCUGAGAAUUACACUGCUUAGACUUUCUUCCCUUAGACCAGGAUUUCUCAGCCUCAUCAACUUUAUCACCAUUAACAUGUGCACUCAAAUAAUUCUUCUUUUUAUUUGUGGAGGGGGUCUGCCUUGUGAAUUGUAGGAUAUUUAACAGGCUCCCUGGACUCUACUCAGUAGUCCCAAAAAUUCCCAUGCAUCACCCCCCAUUUAUGGAUUGUGAAAGUCAAAACUGUCUAGCUUAGUUCAAUUAAGAAUUCCUGUUAAGAUUCUAGGAUGCCCAUUAAGUUGGCUCAUCAGUCAAUUACCCCUUUUUGUGCGUGAGUUUCAGAUUCCUUCUUGAGAAUAUGUAUUAAUGGAAUGGUGAUUGGAGGGAAAGAAAUAAGGAAAAACUCAUGAAUGUGAAGAUGAGGUUUCAGGCAUGAAGACAUUGACUGCUAAGACUUGGAGCGACAAACACUAAUUUUCUCUUUCUUACAUUUUGCCUCUCUUCUUUACAUUCUAACAUUUCCUGUUGAUUCACAUAUAUGUGUCUGUUACCAAAUUAGCAAAAAUAAUACAUUUUUUAAAUGUUUAUUUAUUUAUUUUUGAGAGAGAACAAGAGUGAGCAAGCAGGGGAGGGGCAGAGAGACAGGAAGAGAGAAAAUCCCAAGCAAGCUUCAUGCUGACAGUGCGAAGGCUGACACGGGACUUGAUCUGAUGAAGUGUAAGAUCAUGUCCUAAGCCAAGAUCAAGAGUUGGACACUCAACUGACUGAGCCUAAUUUAGCUGCCCCUAAUUUAGCAAAAAGAGUAUUAAGAAGCACUCCUUUAUGCUCUUUAGGGGUGAAUAUCAAAAUAAACCACAGUUCUGGACAUGAAGCUCACAGUUUUGUGACACUUUUGCAGCCCAGAUCUUUGCUUGCUGAUGUGGCCUUGCUUCAUCCUGCACCAGACUGACACCAAGAAACAAAAAGCAUCUCUUCAAGAAUCUUUAAGUACUCAAUUCUCAGGAGCUCACAAUUUAGGUGAAAGGCUAACAACACUCAGCCUAAAAGUGAACUGUCAGCGAUUUCUUUUCCUUAAAAGAUGGGGUAGUCAACUAAUGAACCUGUGUUAAGGACUUAAUUGCAAGGUGCUAAUAGAUUUGGAAAGCACAGUUUUCCAUUUGUUUAAUUUAAAAAUGGAGGUUAAGUACUGAUUUCUUUGUGCUACCUCAGGCUGUAAACACCAUGCUCAUUCAUGUAUGUGAAACAACAAAAUUCACUGGGUCUCAGACAAUCAAGGGUCAGUAGCCUGCUCUCGAGGGUUCGGUCUCCCUGGGGCAAUUUCCUUCACCCUUUAAGCCCUUCAAUCAUUUGUGUCCACCCAAGAGUAGGAUAAGUGGUUGGCCCCUCUUUCACUGCCAGUUAUUUUUCAGGGCAGACUUUUUCACAUUUCACUGGUUCUGUGGGAGAAAAAUGCCAUGUUGACCAUAGAGAUAGCAUUCUUUGUCCAUAUCGCAUUUCAUUAAUGUGUCCAUUCACAACUGGAGAAUUUCCCCAGGUGCUUAGGAAAAGGGUAGGUGAAUUGUUAUUACAGUAUUUUCCCUUAGAUAAGAGAGUUACUUGUCAUGAAUAUUCUAAGAAGCUCUAACAAAUAAAAGAACUCCUAUGCAUUUAGAAGGCACAUAUCGUGCCUUAUGUGCCCUAUUCUUCAUAUUCUUUCUAUUUAUCCUCAAUUUCUCUUAUACAUUUUCACAUGUUCUCUUUGGUGUAGAGUCAUGAGGUUUGUUUACCAGGCAUUAUCUCCCGUUUAGAGAAGAGAAAACUGGAGCACAGAAGGGUUAAGUGAUUUGCCCUGCUUUAGUGAAGCAUGCUUCCUAUUUAUCCCCAAAAUGAUGACUGGGAGGAUUGUGUUAUUUUUCUAGGGAUGCCCUAACAGUUCCACUAACUGGGGGCCUUAAAAAAUAGAAAUCUAUUGCCUUACAGUUCUGGUGGCUAAAGACUGAAAUCAAGGUGUCGGUAGGGUUGGCUCCAUCUGAGGGCUGUGAGGGAGAGCCUGUUCCAGAUCUCCGUCUUUGACAUGGAGACGGCCCUCAUGUUCACAUGACAUUCUUUGUUAUGUAAGUCCGUCUCCAUAUCUUCUGUUUUGCAAGAACAUCAGUCACACGGGAUUAUAGCCACCCUAAGACAUCAUUUUAACAUUACCUCAGCAAAGGUUCUAUCUCUAGAAUAAGGUCACAUCUGGAGGUACUAAGGAUUAAGACUUCCACACAGGCAUUUUGUGGGAAACGAUUCAACCCAUAACAGGGAAAUUCACGUAAACGGUUCUGAAUAAACCUUUCCUCACCUGCCCUGGAAUAAAGAAGUUUCCCUCCACUAUUAUGAGCUAUGUGUCCCUCCCAGAUGUAGCCCUUGACCCUGGCUUCAGCCUAAUCUCUUGCCACGGCACAGCAGGAAAUCUAACUCUCCUGAACUACUCAGUAAAAAUAACUCAUAUUUAUCAAGCACUUAAGACUCUGUGUUAAGUGCCUCAUAUAUGUGUAUGAUGUAAAUAUGUUAUACUGAUCCUCAGUACCACCAUAUUAUAGAUUUAUUUCUUUAUUCAUUCAUUCAUUCAUUCAAGCAUUCAUUCAUUCAGGUAUGUUUUUGAGCUCUGUUACAUUGAAGCUUUCUUUGUUCAAGAUUCAGGGGGUAUAGCUGCCAAUAAAAUGAAAAACUCCCUAGCCUCACAAACUUACAUUAGUAAGGGAAACAGAUAAUAAUAAAUUAAAACAUCAUAUAAUACGGAUGACCCUUGAACAACAUGGGUUUGUUUGAACUGUGAUGGUCCACUUAGAAAUGGAUUUUUUUAAAUACAGUACAGUAGUGUAAAUGUAUUUUCUCUUCCUUAUGAUUUUCUUAAUAACAUUUUCAUGUCUCUUUUCUAGUUUAUUGUAAGAAUAUAAUAUAUAAUACAAAUAAUAGACAAAAUAUGUGUUAAUUGACUUUAUAUUAUUGGUAAGGCUUCUAGUUAACAGUAGGCUAUUAGUAGUUAGUUUGGGGGGUAGCCAAAAGUUUUAGGUGGAUUUUUGACUGUGUGGGAGAUUGAUGCCCCUAACAUCCCUGUUGUUCAAGGGUCAACUAUGUAUUAAACAAUAUGGACUGCAGUAGAGAAAGUUUGGACAUGGAUGAAAGUGCUUCAGGAACAAAAUGGAAUUUUUAAAAAUUAUAUAACAAUUUUAUAUUUAUGAAAAGGUUAAAAGAAUACUCUGUGUCCAGAUUCUGCAAAUGUUAUUCUGAAAUAAUUCAAAUGUAUAAAGAAGUUGCAAGAUGGAUACAAACAUGUCAUGCAUCCCCCAUUCACUAUUAUUCAUUUCCCAACAUUUGUUCACAGUUUCUCCCUUCUCUCUCUUUCUCUCUCUUUCUUUUUCUCUUCAUCUGUCUGUCUUUCUGCACUUCCAUAUUUCACACACAUGAUACGAUAACAUCCUUCUUGCUGGAUUAUACUACUGAUAACCCUUAUAUAACAUACAUUUAUUUCUUCGACAAAUUAGUCUUGAGAGUUUUUACUAGGUUAAUAUUAAUCUUUUCUCAACAAGAACUUGGCUAUGUUUGUACCUUACACAUCAACAUAAAAGUUCAACUAAUUUUCAAAUUAUUGAGCACUGAACUCGGCUAUUACAAAUUAGAUGCUAAUUAAUGCUCCUUUACUUGCUCAUUUAUUUGUAAUAUUUUCCCCCCUGUCAGGGCCCAGAAAAAUGUGAAAAUUCCAUUAAUUAUUUUUACUAACUCAUUGAUGGAUUGUAGAACAAAGUAGUAAUUUUGAAAAUUAUAGUUAUCCAACACCUACAUUUUUAGAAAGAUGCAACAUUCUGAAGGAUAUUAACUAGAUAGCAAUUAAAAAUUUCAAGAAGAAUGCUUCACAGCAAGAUCUGUGAUAAUUUUAAUAAAUUUCUGAAAUGAGAUAAACAGUUUCUCUCAAGGACACCUCUAACCUUGAGAUUCCAUGAAAUUACAACUGGUGAAAUGGUGGGAAGGAAUAUAUCAUUCAAUAUGUUUUGAUAUAAUGAUUAGAAGAUAUCUAAAAAUGUUUGAACACAUUUAGGGAAGUUAAAACUUAUCAAAUAUAUAAUACUUGUAUUUCAUAGUUUUGACAACCAUGAUCCAAGGUUAUUUUAUUCCCAUUUUGUAGAUGAGACAGCUGAGGACUGGAGUUACUCAAAAUUUAUACUCCUCUCAUGGGAGCAUUCCAGGUGAGAGACACAUGUGAAAAUGGGAAGCUAAAGGAAUGUGGGCAGCUGGAAGAACUAAAGGAAAGCCAACGUGCCUGGACUAUAAGUGUCAUGGGAGAGUGGUCUGAGCUGAGGCCAGGGAGAUAGGAAGGAUGGCACAUGCAGUGUUAUUUGGGAAAUGACAAGCACCUAGGACUUCAGCCACCAUGUUUCAAGAUCAUUCUUGUCACAGUGUGAAGAAUGGCUUGGAGGGGAUAAGUGGGAGACAAGAUGCAAAACAAUUGCAGAAGUCCAGGGAGGAUGAUGGUGAUGAUGUUGAUGAUCAUGAUGAUGGUUAUGCUGCAGCUAAUGGUGAUGAUGAUGAUGGUGAUGACGAUGAUGAUGAUGAUGGUGAUAAUGAUGGCAUGGCCUACAGAAGAGGCGAGCUGAAUUUGCUAGAGAGUUCAUAGGAAAGUGGUAGGAAUCACUGAUGUCAGGAAAGGUUGAUGAUGAGGGAAAGAAAGGUAAGGAUGAUGGCCUCCUUUUCGGAUCUGCUCAACUGUCUAGAAGGCAGAAGGGAGCACUGAAGAAAGAGAAAUUAGCAGAGGAUUUUCUGAAGUGUUUCUAUGGCAUGAAGAGUUGAACUGAGACAUGUAAAAAAUGUAUUUGAAUAUACAGAUAUGGAAUUCAGAAAUGUCAAGAUUGGGGACAUGAGUUUGAAAGCAAAAGUAAGGAAUAUUUUUAAAAUUUAUUUCAGUGUUUUUCAAAGUGCUCUUUAGACUACUUAUGUCCGAAGGCCCUGCAUCUCUAUUUCUUAAGUCAGUGGUUUUCAGGCUUUCAUAUGCAUCAAAAUCAACAAAGUACAGGAUACUGAGGAAGAUGAAAGCUCUAGGUUCGAUCAGCUUUGGUUUGAAUUAGCUUAGACACUUUCUAGAAUAAAUUUGGGCAGCCUAGCCUCUGUGCCUCAGUUUUUUUCUCUAUAAAAUGGAAAUAAUAAUACCUCAUUGAGUUUCUUGAAGAUUAAAUUUAAAAAAUAAGAAAAUAAUUGAGUCAACCAAAUAAAUUGGAGUAUAAAUAAAACCUUUAGGACACUUAUGGGCAUUUAAUAAACAGCCAAAAAAUGUUAGGCUAGGCAUUAUUAUUUUCCAGAUAAUUUAUUAAAAUACUUAUUCAUGGGCCUCCAACUCAGGAUUUUCAUGUAAAUUUCAAGUUACAGGAUGCUGUGGGCAUUUUCAUGUGGAUUUGGCUGUGUUUUGGACUAGAGAUAGAGGACAAAUUAGAAUUCGGUGAUUCUGGACAUAAUAAUCCUGGACCCUGCCACAUUUAUUAAAUCACAUGUUUUUUGUUGUUACUGUUUUUCAGAGGCCAAUUAAUCUGCAUUUUUAAAUAAAGUCACCAAAUCUUAAUGAUGCUGAUCUAUAUCUAUGCUUGAAAGGGAUAAUACUAGACAAAAUCUUGUGAUACUCAUUGUGUCACCAUUGCAGUCAAUAUCCACCAUUGUGCAGUUCCAUUUCAUAGCGGCCAUUAGUUUGCAGCAAAGUGAUUUGCCAGCCUGCUAGAACACUGCAUGCCCAGUAUGAAUUUUUGACUAUUACUGACCAAUAGAACAUAAAUAGAAGUGAUGUUUGUCACUUCUGAGACAAUACUUCUAAAACACAGUCAUGUCUUUCCCACAUUCUGUUUCCCCCUCUGCUCACCAAUGCAGAGAACAAGCUCUAGGUGAUGCUCUAGCAAUAAGAUGAAAGAAAUCUAGGAUUGAAUUGAUAACAGUAAGUUCGUCUGUUGUUACAUGAAUGAGAAAAAAGAUAGCACAAACGAGGGAAACAACUUCUAAUAUAUUAGGGAAAUGUUGGAGAUUACUGCCUAUAGUAGUUGGUACCACACUAUUUACUCCUCUUCAACAGGAGACUUCUUCUCCAAGUCAGUAUUUAUCAGUAGCUGCUGGAAGAACAGUAUCAUUGGAGUAUUAGAAUUAAUGUGUCAGAUUCUUAUGAUGCAAAGAAUAAAAAGAUCUCUUGUUUGGUUCUUGGAACAUAAUUCUGUGUCUGCACAGUCCCAAUGUUUCAGUGUUUACUGGUUGCUUUUUGUUGUUGAUUUAUAGUUACUGCGAAAAAAAAAAAGUGUGCAGUUGCAGGAAAGUUUUACAUUUUCCUUAGUAAAAUUUUAAUGUAAAAUCCUGAACAUUGGUAGCUUUCUGUUUAGUAUCACUAUUCUUUCUUCUUAGCUCAGGAAACAUCUUGGUGGUUUUGUUCCCCCUGAAAGUCGGAGAUGGGUCUCUAUUAUGCAUCUCUUCAGGGAACCAAGCACGUGUUUUUUUUUAUAAAAUAAAAGAAUGUUGUUUGUAUCUGGAUCAUUCCUUAAAGUCAUAAAAAACAAAAACAUUGCCAAACAGUGUAAACAUCGAUACUCAUGAAUUAUUAUUCGUUAAAAAUGGUGGCUAAAUUUACAUAUAGAUUAAACUUAGAAUUUAUGAAAUGUGA